UGACUUGCUCUCUCUCCCCUCCUGCGCCGCCGCCGCCGGUGGCGCGCGAGAGCAACGCAAAACCCCCCCUCCGACAGCCGCCGCCGCCGCCGCCAUCUCCUCGACCACCCGAGUCGCGACCCCUCACGCCUCCAAGAGCUUGGUAGUAGCUACGCCCUGCUUUCUCUCGCGCCAGCGCCAUGGGGCGGCCGAAGGGAGGCGCGGCGGCCUCUUCCUCCGCCUCCUCGAAGAAGCCCAAGCCCAAGCCGAAGCAGCGCGGCGGCGUCGACUUCAAGAAGUACAAGCACAAGGUCGGGCGCAAGCUGCCGCCGCCGAAGAAUGCCACCAGCACGGAGAUCAAAUCCAAAACGAUCGUGCUGCCGGAGCAGAGCAUGGCCUCGGAGAGGGCGGGCAUGGCGGUGAACAAGCGUGGGCUCACGCUUCGGGAGCUUCUGCAGCAGACGGCCCACUAUAAUGCCAAUGUGCGGCGAGCUGCACUGAAUGGAAUCAAGGACAUUGUUGUCAAGCACCCAACAGAGCUUAAACUGCACAAGGUUGCUAUAAUUGAGAAGCUGCAGGAAAGGAUAUGCGAUACUGACAAGGUGGUCCGUGAAUCAUUAUACAGUAUACUGCAGUCUAUGAUCUUCCCAUCUUUGAAAGAGGAUAAUGCUAUAUCGACCCGGAGUACACUGUUUCUGCUGAUGGCUAAUAUUCUGAAUGGAAUGACCCAUCUAUCUAUUGAUAUCCAGUUAAUGGCUUUCCGUUUUUUGGAGCUUGUGGUUCUCAAUUUCCCAUCGUCCUUUUCUAGUUAUGCUGAACAGGCUUUCAACAACUUUAUUGCGGUACUGAGCAAUGAUAGAAUCAACCUACAUGAUAGGAACAAACUUAACAGUGUCCUUAGUGGGCUUGGACAUUGCCUUUCUUUGGUUGCUAAAACGAUGGAAAAUGAUGAUAUAUCAAAUCGACAGGUUCAUGACCUCUCUGCAAGGGAACUUUGGAAAUGUACCUCUGAUGAAGAUAACUCAGUAGGCAGAGCAUUUGCAAUGCCCAAUUUAUUAGUGAAGCUUCAGAGCCUUGUCCAAAUUCUCAUUAAUUCUGUAGAGGUUUCAGCCUCAGAGCUCUGUGCAAAGUCAGCUAUUGAUGCAUCAUCAAGUGAAGCAUUGUUAUCAGCCCUCCAUUGUCUGGAUAUAAUAUGUAGGAUAUUUAUUCAUGAAGUGAAGAAACCUCAGUUAAGAUUUUCCAUAUCCAAGACUCAGUUUGGGCCUGACUGGUUGAGAAGUUCCUUAUUGAUACAUCUAAAGAAUUUAUGGGGCGUGAAGCGUUUGUUUCAUGAAAAGGAAGACGGCAAAUUUUUCAUUUUCAAUUUGAAGAUUGCUGAAAUCUUUCUGUGCUUGAGUGCAUGGAUAGAUAGCACAAUGUUUCCAGCUGAAGAAUUUUGCCAUUUUGUAUCUUCUCUAUUCGCAAAGCAGGCAAAGACACUUCGCAAUAAGGAUCUCAUGGAAAUGUAUUUGAGCCCCAUUAUAACUUGCAUACCGGAUCUUAUAUUCAAUGCCCCAGAUGACUCAAAAGAACAUUUGUUGGAGGCAUUUACAGAUGCAUUUAGAGGUUGCAAGGUGGAUUGCAAGCUAAUCUUUCCAUAUUUGGAUGCAGUUGGAGAAAUGCUGCUUCCUGAGAAAACAGGCACAUGGUUUGCUGAAGACGGUUCAGGCGUGCUGGGCUAUCAUGACGUGUGGAUACAUGAGUUACCCCGAAUUUUGCUGCAAUCAAUUGAUAAAGCCCCCUCAGUUACAAAGGUUGUUUUGGAGCUUCUUCUAAGAAUUGGACAAUACUUUCCCACAUUGGACUGUGAAAACCUGCGUCCCUUCAUAAAGUUAUUUGGUGUUGAAUCAUCAUCAGGAGCUGUGGAGCUUGGCCCUUUUGUUAACCUAGCUCGUGAUUGCCAAGAACUUGCCACUUCAUGCCUUUAUUACUUUCCCAGUCUGCUCCCUGACAUAAUUGGGCCAUUGGCCUCGUGUUGCUUAAGUGAUGCACUGGAACCCCUCGUACUGUUCAGGGUCGUUGAGGUUCUACAGUCAACAUACAAGGCUGGUAGUUUACAGAUAACAGAACUACUCAGUUUUUUGUUGCUGCUAAUGGCAAGAUUCAGAGUUCAUCCUGGGGGUUUAGUUACUUCAGGGAAUCCUAGUAAGGUCUCGAAUUGGGACACUUUCAAGUCGUUGAAUCGUCUAAUUUUAACUUCCCUAUCUGAAAUGGGUGAUGGCUCUCUGGUCCUCGAAUUGAUGUGGAAUAAUUUAUCUAAUGCGAUUGCUAAAAAACCAUCGAUGCAUAACAUGAACGGCUUGUUUAGAAUUAUUGUUACACUUGAUGCAGGAACUAAUAAGCUCAUGAAUGAAGAUGCCGUAAAGCUUAUAGCUGGCUACUUGGUUGAUGCUUCUUUGGAUCUGUCUAAGACCAUUGAAGGUGGUUUUCAACCUGAUAAGACAAGAUUAUUUCAGUACUUUAUCAAGCCCUGCACCAUCAUGUUUGACAAGAAUGACAAGGUUCUUUGCAGCACAUUGGAGAUGCUUAAGUCUUUUAUAACAGGAGAUGAUCACCUGCUUUCAUCUCUCUCCAACUUUAACUACCCAGGAGAGCUAUCAUGUCGAGUUUGUGCUGUCACAACCAUACUCAUCUUCUUAUGCAAUGACCGGAAACUCCAUAGGAAUCUUUCUUUUGGCAAAUCAGUUAUUAAAGGCAUCCUGGAUUAUAUAAGGCAUCAGCUGGGUUCUAGUGGGCCUAAUGUGACGUAUGAAGAAAAACAGAAGUUAAGAUCUGCUUUCGAGCAACUGAAGACCAAAGCAUUGCAGUUGAACUGCUGGGAUAGAAGUGAGCUGGAAGGGCUGUCAAUCACAAGAUAACGUGAGUGAAGACAUGGUUGGGGGUGGGGGCGUUUGCCAUUUUCCCAAAAUGAAUCACACAUUCACACUUUCAGAGUUCCAGCAUAUAUAUGUGGCCCAGCUGUUACCAAGGGUGAUCUGAAGAUGGGUGGUACGGAUUCCUAGAGCCACUAACCAAGAACUGAGCAAUCCAAUGUUCAUAUCGCAUCGCUUUGCUGUUUAUUAACCAAAUGUAGUCAUGGCAACCAUUUGUUUUCGCAAGUGCCUGAAACGCUAGUCACCAACCCAAGUAAGGCAAGUAGGCGAGUCGGAGAUCGUUGGCUGUGGUCGCUUCAUAGACGGUAGGUGAACCCUGUAUGCCUGUACCACCUUGUAAAUGCAGAAAUUUUGAUAUGACGUUUUACUUCGGGCGUUCAGUCUCAUUGGCUACCCAGUUCGUUUCCUGCAGAA
This is an RNA transcript of Panicum virgatum (switchgrass), 3305 nucleotides long. RefSeq lists it as uncharacterized. The record is from RefSeq and is a predicted model, not a curated record. The transcript is spliced from 20 exons. NCBI's taxonomy places the organism in Eukaryota, Viridiplantae, Streptophyta, Magnoliopsida, Poales, Poaceae.